This 149-nucleotide ribosomal RNA is filed under the name Enchelys gasterosteus. RNAcentral describes it as "5.8S ribosomal RNA". It matches the Rfam family "5.8S ribosomal RNA". Rfam says of the family: 5.8S ribosomal RNA (5.8S rRNA) is a component of the large subunit of the eukaryotic ribosome. Lineage: Eukaryota; Ciliophora; Litostomatea; Haptorida; Enchelyidae. The record is from RNAcentral.
AAAUUUUCAACGAUGGAUGUCUUGGCUCCCAUAUCGAUGAAGAACGCAGCAAGAAUGCGAUAUGCAAUGUGAAUUGCAGAACCACGAAUCAUCGGAUCUUUGAACGCAACUGGCGCUAACUCUGUUAGCAUACUUGUUUCAGUGUGCGC